This 479-nucleotide ribosomal RNA is filed under the name uncultured bacterium. Its description in RNAcentral is "bacterial SSU rRNA". It matches the Rfam family "Bacterial small subunit ribosomal RNA", at positions 328 to 799 of the family's 1533-position model. The record is from RNAcentral.
CCUGGAGACUCCUACGUGAGGCAGCAGUAGGGAAUCUUCGGCAAUGGACGGCAGUCUGACCGAGCAACGCCGCGUGAGUGAAGAAGGUUUUCGGAUCGUAAAGCUCUGUUGUAAGAGAAGAACGAGUGUGAGAGUGGAAAGUUCACACUGUGACGGUAUCUUACCAGAAAGGGACGGCUAACUACGUGCCAGCAGCCGCGGUAAUACGUAGGUCCCGAGCGUUGUCCGGAUUUAUUGGGCGUAAAGCGAGCGCAGGCGGUUAGAUAAGUCUGAAGUUAAAGGCUGUGGCUUAACCAUAGUACGCUUUGGAAACUGUUUAACUUGAGUGCAAGAGGGGAGAGUGGAAUUCCAUGUGUAGCGGUGAAAUGCGUAGAUAUAUGGAGGAACACCGGUGGCGAAAGCGGCUCUCUGGCUUGUAACUGACGCUGAGGAUCGAAAGCGUGGGGAGCAAACAGGAUUAGAUAAACGAGUAGUAAUAG